Molecule: ribosomal RNA, 254 nt
Filed under: uncultured bacterium
Lineage: Bacteria
Description: partial 16S ribosomal RNA
Rfam family: Bacterial small subunit ribosomal RNA
Source: RNAcentral
UACGUAGGCAGCAAGCGUUGUUCGGAGUUACUGGGCGUAAAGGGUGUGUAGGCGGUUGUUUAAGUUUGGUGUGAAAUCUCCCGGCUCAACUGGGAGGGUGCGCCGAAUACUGAAUGACUUGGAGUGCGGGAGAGGAGAGUGGAAUUCCUGGUGUAGCGGUGAAAUGCGUAGAUAUCAGGAGGAACACCGGUGGUGUAGACGGCUCUCUGGACCGUAACUGACGCUGAGACACGAAAGCGUGGGUAGCAAACAGG